CUCCAACGGGCUCCUGGCCACGCCCCCAGCCCUCGCCAUCCGGGGGAGGUCAUCUGUUCAGAGAGAGGUCAGGGGGAGGUCAUCUGUUCAAAGUGAGAGGUCAUUUGUUCAGAGAGAGGUCAGGGGUCAGGGGGAGGUCAUCUGUUCAGAGAGAGGUCA
Cyclopterus lumpus (lumpfish) is the source of this 159-nucleotide long non-coding RNA. RefSeq lists it as uncharacterized. Lineage: Eukaryota; Metazoa; Chordata; Actinopteri; Perciformes; Cyclopteridae. The transcript has 3 exons. The record is from RefSeq and is a predicted model, not a curated record.